This 497-nucleotide ribosomal RNA is filed under the name uncultured bacterium. Its description in RNAcentral is "partial 16S ribosomal RNA". It matches the Rfam family "Bacterial small subunit ribosomal RNA", at positions 28 to 507 of the family's 1533-position model. The record is from RNAcentral.
GAUGAACGCUGGCGGCGUGCCUAAUACAUGCAAGUCGAGCGAACAGACGAGGAGCUUGCUCCUCUGACGUUAGCGGCGGACGGGUGAGUAACACGUGGAUAACCUACCUAUAAGACUGGGAUAACUUCGGGAAACCGGAGCUAAUACCGGAUAAUAUAUUGAACCGCAUGGUUCAAUAGUGAAAGACGGUUUUGCUGUCACUUAUAGAUGGAUCCGCGCCGCAUUAGCUAGCUGGUAAGGUAACGGCUUACCAAGGCAACGAUGCGUAGCCGACCUGAGAGGGUGAUCGGCCACACUGGAACUGAGACACGGUCCAGACUCCUACGGGAGGCAGCAGUAGGGAAUCUUCCGCAAUGGGCGAAAGCUUGACGGAGCAACGCCGCGUGAGUGAUGAAGGUCUUCGGAUCGUAAAACUCUGUUAUUAGGGAAGAACAAAUGUGUAAGUAACUAUGCAUGUCUUGACGGUACCUAAUCAGAAAGCCACGGCUAACUACGUG